ACAUGCAAGUCGAGGGGCAGCAUGGUCUUAGCUUGCUAAGGCCGAUGGCGACCGGCGCACGGGUGAGUAACACGUAUCCAACCUGCCGUCUACUCUUGGACAGCCUUCUGAAAGGAAGAUUAAUACAAGAUGGCAUCAUGAGUCCGCAUGUUCACAUGAUUAAAGGUAUUCCGGUAGACGAUGGGGAUGCGUUCCAUUAGAUAGUAGGCGGGGUAACGGCCCACCUAGUCUUCGAUGGAUAGGGGUUCUGAGAGGAAGGUCCCCCACAUUGGAACUGAGACACGGUCCAAACUCCUACGGGAGGCAGCAGUGAGGAAUAUUGGUCAAUGGGCGCAGGCCUGAACCAGCCAAGUAGCGUGAAGGAUGACUGCCCUAUGGGUUGUAAACUUCUUUUAUAAAGGAAUAAAGUCGGGUAUGUAUACCCGUUUGCAUGUACUUUAUGAAUAAGGAUCGGCUAACUCCGUGCCAGCAGCCGCGGUAAUACGGAGGAUCCGAGCGUUAUCCGGAUUUAUUGGGUUUAAAGGGAGCGUAGAUGGAUGUUUAAGUCAGUUGUGAAAGUUUGCGGCUCAACCGUAAAAUUGCAGUUGAUACUGGAUAUCUUGAGUGCAGUUGAGGCAGGCGGAAUUCGUGGUGUAGCGGUGAAAUGCUUAGAUAUCACGAAGAACUCCGAUUGCGAAGGCAGCCUGCUAAGCUGCAACUGACAUUGAGGCUCGAAAGUGUGGGUAUCAAACAGGAUUAGAUACCCUGGUAGUCCACACGGUAAACGAUGAAUACUCGCUGUUUGCGAUAUACUGCAAGCGGCCAAGCGAAAGCGUUAAGUAUUCCACCUGGGGAGUACGCCGGCAACGGUGAAACUCAAAGGAAUUGACGGGGGCCCGCACAAGCGGAGGAACAUGUGGUUUAAUUCG
This 908-nucleotide ribosomal RNA is filed under the name uncultured bacterium. RNAcentral describes it as "bacterial SSU rRNA". It matches the Rfam family "Bacterial small subunit ribosomal RNA", at positions 53 to 953 of the family's 1533-position model. The record is from RNAcentral.